CCUACGGGUGGCAGCAGUGAGGAAUAUUGGUCAAUGGACGAGAGUCUGAACCAGCCAAGUAGCGUGAAGGAUGACUGCCUUAUGGGUUGUAAACUUUUUUUAUAUGGGAAUAAAUUGUUUCACGUGUGGGAUUUUGUCUGUCCCACAUGAAUAAGGAUCGGCUAACUCUGUGCCAGCAGCCGCGGUAAUACGGAGGAUCCGAGCGUUAUCCGGAUUUAUUGGGUUUAAAGGGAGCGUAGGUGGAUUGUUAAGUCAGUUGUGAAAGUUUGCGGCUCAACCGUAAAAUUGCAGUUGAAACUGGCAGUCUUGAGUACAGUAGAGGUAGGCGGAAUUCGUGGUGUAGCGGUGAAAUGCGUAGAUAUCACGAAGAACUCCGAUUGCGAAGGCGGCUCACUGGACUGCAACUGACACUGAGGCUCGAAAGUGUGGGUAUCAAACAGGAUUAGAUACCCCUGUAGUC
This 460-nucleotide ribosomal RNA is filed under the name uncultured bacterium. RNAcentral describes it as "partial 16S ribosomal RNA". It matches the Rfam family "Bacterial small subunit ribosomal RNA", at positions 338 to 795 of the family's 1533-position model. The record is from RNAcentral.